GAUGAACGCUGGCGGCGUGCCUAACACAUGCAAGUCGAGCGAAGCGGGGACGGGUGAGUAACACGUGGAUAACCCCCUAUAAGACUGGGAUAAAUUCGGGAAACCGGAGCUCAACCGGAUACUUAUACAUGGAUCCGCGCUGCAUUGGCGAGUUGGUAAGGUAACGGCUUACCAAGGCAACGAUGGAUAGCCGACCUGAGAGGGUGAUCGGCCAAACGGGAACGGAGACACGGUCCAGACUCCUACGGAAGGAAGCAGUGGGGAAUCUUCCGCAAGGGGCGAAAGCCUGACGGAGCAACGCCGCGUGGGUGAUGAAGGUCUUCGGAUCGUAAAACUCUGUUAUUAGGGAGGCGGUACCUAAACAGAAAGCCACGGCUAACUACGUGCCAGCAGCCGCGGUAAUAC
This 405-nucleotide ribosomal RNA is filed under the name uncultured bacterium. RNAcentral's name for it is "partial 16S ribosomal RNA". It matches the Rfam family "Bacterial small subunit ribosomal RNA", at positions 28 to 526 of the family's 1533-position model. The record is from RNAcentral.